GCACUGACCGAGAAAAUUAACACCAACUUCACGGAAGACACUGCUCGCAGGCUGGUCUGGAUCGACGAGACUGCCGUCUUGCUGUUCAAAGACGUCAAUGGAUGGGCAUCACCUCGGAAGAUGAGGAUCCUGGAGCAGCUUUCAUAGAACCUCCACGGUAUGAUGGCCAUAACACCACCAAAGAGUGAGCUGGGCAUGACCUUAACGAACAUGCUGGAAGGCACCAACGUGUGGCUGGAGGUUUGUACAUAUGAAGCUCUUCGUUUCUUUCGUUUCCAUCCAACAAACCUACAUCGUUUUGUUGCAGCGUGUCCGGAUUGCAGUGGAACAAAGUUCGAUACAUGAGCAUCGUUGGCAGAUACUCUCCAGCGGAACACCGGUAUUUUCUGGAUGUUGAUGUCCUGGCAUAAAACAUGAUUCACCUUACCCUGUACCGCUUAUCCUGCCUGCAAAAAUUACGAGAAAAAGAAUGAGCUCACCUGUUUUCUACAGCCGUGACCUCUGGCAAGCUGAAGAUCUUGCUCUCCGAGUGAAAUCGCUUGCUUGCUCGCCUAAACCCUAAUUUCGCUCAGUUAAUGUUUUCUUAAAUUCUCACAUUCACAGCCCAACAAAACCACCGGGGGAUGUAUGUGAUAAAUUGCUUCUCUAUUUAGUUCUGGUCAAGUAGAACAAUCAGCAUCAUCAUUGUCUUUUACCAUGUUUAUUGUGCCUAGCAGCAUCACUAAUGUAUGUCAGAAAAUUAUGCAAAAUGCAGCAAGUGUAAAUAACAUUUAUAUCUGGAGGCUGUAUUCUAUGCUUAUGUUCCAAGAUUUGGAACUUACAUGUAUUAGAUAGAAUGAAGCUAAAUUAGACAUAUCCUUAAGAAGCCAAACGCAAUGCAUAACUUCUUGCGCUGUUUGUUGCCAAAGUUAGUUGCAUUGAGAUGUGCUAACUGUUGAAAUGGCAUCAUGAUCCAUGGACUGUGAGGAUGUAGUACAUCUGAGAUCACUGUACGGCUGAGACACGUGGUGACACGUGGCGGAUUCACAACUCUCACCUGUGUAUGUAUAGCGAUGAUGAUAAAGUUUUCGGUCUUCCUCCUCCAUUCAGCCCACCAUGUUUAAAACUAAGGAAGAAAAUGAUCUGAAUUGCAAAAAUCAAGAUGGAGGUUUUCUUGUUUAGGCAACCCUAAACGGUUCUCCUGCUGCUACAAGGGAAGGCUUCCUCAGGCUGGAGAUUUGCUGAUGAUGCCAAGAGGCUUCUCUUCUUGCUGGGCACUAGGCGUGGAAUUUCUGUGCGUAAAGGGCUUUGACGCUGAUGGAGAGAUCACAUUUGGGUGGGGGAGAUGGAGCAAGAUGCUAGUUUCUGACGGGUCCUGAUACAAGCUGGGCUGUGUGCAAGCUUGGGUACCUUGGAACGUGCUGCUGCUGUUGUUCAACACCACAAGAUGCUGAUUUCAUGAGCUCAGCUUUUCUCAUUUUACCAUUAGUGUAACAGCAAAACAUACCUGCAAGCCCAUAAACGCCUCCUUGAGCUCCGUAAGUUAAAACUUUCACGUAUUUCUCCUUCUUGUCCUUCUCCUCUACGAGCAUUUCAUAGAUCUGUCCACUUGCAGUUGCAAGCACAAUCUCUCCUGAUGAAUCUGCAUUGUCAUGAAAUUGACUUCCUUAGCAGCACAAGCAGGCAGUGGAAAAUCUUCACUACUUACAGUCGCUUAGCUGGGACUUGUUCCAGCAAACAGCAUUGACGAGCACGCCUUUGAGCCGAGAAACAGCACAAGCUUUCUUCCAUUUCGCAUGGAUGUACAAGGUCUCGGCACCACUGCUGCUCCGAAGAUUUGCUAGACAGUGCCUUCCACUGGGAUCCAGGAAAACCUUACAAACGUAUUGAUCGGCUCCGCGGCUCAACUCCAACUCUAUCGGAUCACGGGAAAAAAGCUCACAGUUUUCAGAAGAAACAAAGAAAGCGAGCGUGAAUUUUCCUUGAUAUUUUUGGAGACUCACCUAAGUUAUCCUCGCCUCCAAAAUCAUGACAAACAAUCCAGCCGCUGCUAGUACCGACGAGCAGGACAUUGUUUCCAGCGGCUACUGAGGUGACAAGCCGGUGACCUUUGGCAGCGGUUUGCUCCAGGACAUCCAAGCUGAAGAUCUUGAUCUCUGGCCUCGACAGUGAAAUCGCCUGGAACUAGGAAUUGAAUCAGCAAUCGACCAUCCAGCUCAAUCUCACCUCGUUGAGCCCCGAUUGAGCGGGUGAAGACACGUCCAUUCAUCGGUGUAAGAAUUAUGAACCUAAUGUAAAAAGGUAAAUUAGAUUUCGUUUGACCAUAUAUAUGGUAAUGCUAAAUUUGCUGUCACUUAUAAGUUUGAAAAUUAAUUAACUAUAAAAUGGUGCUAGGUUAUGAUCAUAUGUUUAAAAUAAUUUCUAUUAGCAAAUCUAAACACUUUCCUUAAAUAGUUAAUUUAACCAAAUGUGUCUUGGCAAAUAUAAUACUUGCCAGUACUUGCCCAGCAAAUGCUGGGUGGUUUACAAAGAGGUGGAUGCGCCAGAAAUAUGUUUCUUACCUGAACUCAAGCACUUGUAUGUAUCUUUCUCAUUUUCUUGGAGGUUUUUGGACCUGUUGUCCUUCAGGUUACUGGACAAUAAUGGCUUCUCUGGAGAAGUUCCCGAUGAAAUUGGAAACUUUUCCAAGCUGACCAUCAUGUAAGCCGUUGAUGGCUAGAAUACAAUCUCGUGUAAUAGUGUAUUUUCAGGAGACUUGACAAAAAUCGAUUUGCUGGAUCACUGCUGAGCAGUUUGGGGCGGAUAUCAACCCUCUUUGAAAUUUAAAUAGCUAAUAUGGUAACUACUUUGUACUCAAGUUUUGUUUCAUUUACAGACACAUCAAUGAUAACGCUUUUACUGGAACGUUACCUGAUCUAAGCGGGUUGAGAGCUCUCCAACUAAUGUAAUAUUUCUUCUUAAUUUGGAGUUGACCUGAUGCAUGUGUGUAUGCAUAACAGAAGCGUUGGAAACAACUCCUUUUCUCCUCAGCCAGUUCCAUCAUUUGCAGGCUUGAUUAAACUCUGGACAAUGUAGGUGAAUUUUGUUAGUUUUUGUUUGAACUUAACAUGUCAUUAAUGAUCCAAGUUUCUUUUCAGACCAAACUUGAAAACAAUGGGAUGAGAGAGGCUCAAACUCUCGACCUCAGGAUUUCUCAGCAGCUAUGAGACCUACGCGCUGACCAACUGCGCCACCAUUUAUUUUAACAUGAUCAUUCUAAACAAAUUUAUCUUAGGAUUGAUUCUGGAAUGCUGACUAUAAUGUCAUACAUCUAUCCACGAACUACAGUUUUAUCCAUGGGCUACUGCAACAAACCGAUUGAUGCCAGCUUUCCCAUCCUUUCCCAACACUUGCUACACAUCAUAGAAUACAAAGAUAUUCAAACUUACGACUUAUAAACCAGGCGAUGCUUGCGGUGGCUUCUCCUUCUCUUUCGAGAGAAACCAGACAUUAGUGCCGUGUCAGAUUUCCAAAACUUCAGGAGCAGUGUUGGCUAGCCACUCGACAGCCCUACGUCAACUCGAAACACCUGGUUCCUACAAACGGAGUUGGUCCCGAGCAUGUGCUGAAACAACAAUCCCUCACCAGGAAGGGAUGCCUCGAGAGAAUCCGGGGUUGAAGAGGGAGUGUCCUUGAUAAUUGCUUUCCUGUAGGCUCCUCCUCUGCUCGAUGAUCUUUGGCAAAUUUACAUUCGUUCUUCCCUGUCCGUCCUCACGCUGCUUGGCUCGUUUUCCUCAAGUAGCUCUCAAACGCGUCCAGCGUGUGGACAUCGGUUCUAUAGUGCUUCUGGGUGAAUUCUAGCAGCUGCCCCCAAGUAAACUCCACGCACGGCCUCUUGCGAUCUUGCUCUUCGUCUUCUUUGCUCUUGACCACCAGCUCUGGAAUCGGCCGGAUCACCAUGUCCAGCCCCGGGUUGAUGAAGAAAACCAGCGAGUGCCUGGCUCGGGUGGCAUGGAUCACUGCGCGGUGCUUGGCACUCUUGUAGCGAUGGUUGCACAGUGCCUGUGACGAAGAGAAAGCUGCGUGAGAGAUGUUUUAUAAAAAGAAAAGGAAAAAAGAAGAGCACCACCAUCUACAACCAGCUAUAGCGCUGCGAGGAGGGAGAGGAGAGGGAAGAGCAGAAACAAAAGAAUUCUCGCUCUGUUUACCUGGAAUGUGUCACCGAUGCUGAUGACAAACGCAUCGGCACGGGGCUCGACUGUGACCCAAGUCUCGGGAAUGAAGAGGGAGUGUCCUUGAUAAUUGCUUUCCUGUAGGCCAAAGAGCUCGUGAGGCAGUGGCGAACAGGGAUCAAAGCUUUGCUGAGUUGGAGAUGAGCCAAUGUUGAUCCCGAGAGGAGCCUGGAUUGUGUGCCCGACUACCAUUCUGCUCGCCCCUGUUACUAACCACGCACAGGCUCUCACAGGAAUGCCCACACAACCGAGCAGCCAUGGAACCCUAGGAGUGCAUGGCAUAACACCUGUCACCACGCCCUCUUCCCUUCCUGGCCACACGUGCAUCCCACCCAUUGGCCGCCACAACAUUAAGCCCAUAUUCCCGCUAACCAUGGCCAUUGGCCAUGGCCCGAGCCUAGGCUGGCCUCCCCUUCCCGAGGACCAUGGCUUCCGAGGCUGCCCCGGGCCCGGGGAUCGGACGGCUGCGGGGGUGUGGGUUCUUCGUUCUUAUUAUUAUAGAUGUUUAAAAUAAUUUCUAUUAGCAAAUCUAAACACUUUCCUUAAAUAGUUAAUUUAACCAAAUGUGUCUUGGCAAAUAUAAUAAAUUAUUACAUAAUGAAUACUGAAAGGCUGAGCUUAAUAUCAAAGGGGUUCCUAACACUAGUAAAUGUAAUUUAACCAUAUGAAUUUCAUAUUAAAUAUGCUAUAUUAAAUGAUAAUUUAGGAUAUCAUUCUUUUGUGCCCUUCUAAAUUAUCUACAUGUAUACUGACUAGCCUCUUAACUAGUGUGGGUGGAAACUCUAGCAAUAUCAACUUCCUACUAUCAUGGUAAUAAAAGAAAAAUAUUUAGAAAGACUGAUAGGUAAAGUUUGAUGCUCACAAUCACAUUUGCAAUAGUGAUACACCUCAAAAUAACUUUUUACAUAGCUUAACUUCAUGUUAAUCAUGUUAACUCCUUCCACUUUGUGCAAACAUUUGUCCUUUAAAAAAAUCUUUUUAUUUCCUAGAAUUAAUUUCCUCCUCUUACCUUAUAUGAAAGCACAUUUUGGGCUUUUACCCAGCCUUAGGAGUUUCUCUCUAGGACAAUCACAAAAAUUUAUUAAAUAUAAAAUGAUGUUAGAUUGUGAUUUUGGAUAUGGGAACAACACUAUUAUGUUUAAGAUAAUCUUUAAAUCUGUAAAUAUGCCCAAUUAACAAAUCUAAACACUUUUCAAAUAAGACCAAACGAGACCAACACAUAAAGAAUGAUAUCAAAAGUAUCUUGACAAACACAGUAAACUAUCACUUAGCAAAUAUAGAGGACCAAGCUUCACAUUAUAAGAGUUCCCAAUAUUAGCAAGUGUAAAUCAUCACACUCUAGGAGGCAACAAGAGCUCACUAACAAGACUUAAGUUUGCUUUGGAAUUUGAUAUGCAAAGCCAAUAGCAGUUUAGCCAACUUACCUCAUUAAUGUCAAGUAGAACACCAUAUAAAGUUUGGUAUAGCAUUAAACUGAAUGUGAGUCUUUGCAAGUGGUGUUCAGGAACCACAAGGUUCAAAGAUGAUCAUUAGUUGUCAUAUUUAAUGAGUCUAGGACAUAUACAACACAAGAUCUUUAACCACUGAAACAGUUUUCCUUGACUGAAGUCAAAAGGGACAAUUAGGGCACAUAUAAUAGUGCAGUUGGAGGUGAGGAUGGUGACAAUGAGGAUGAUGCAUCAAGUGGGGAUGGUGUUGGAGACAGCAGCAAUAGUGGAUCCAGUUGGAGUGCCAAUAUGGCAAAUCCAUUGGUUGGGACCUUGAGCUACUAACAAGGAGGAAAGUCAUAAGAAUGAAGUUCCCCUUGGAAGAAGCAAUGGGUGCAGACAGCUUAGCUUAAGUGGGAAUAUUAAGGGAAUGUUCCAACUUCCCUCAAGACAAGUUGACUCUGGCACUGUCUCAAGAGCUCUGUGUGGGAGGGAUCUUGGAGAUAAGCUGCUCGUCCAUGGCUUUGAAAGAUGCCCUAUUGAGCUUGGGGAAAGUCUAACAAUGAGAUAAUUGCUGCAGUCCUUGUGAUGGCUUGUGAAUCAAAAGACACUAGACUUUUGAUGAUCUUGCAUGACAGAUUAGUGUCCGAGACCUUAGAGAAGUUGAAACCUCUUACAAUUUGGGCAAACACUCCACAUUUCCUAAGACCCAUUUUGUAUAUCCAAGGUGAGCACUAUGUAGACCAGCAACAGAAGGAGCAGUGAACAUCUUCUUGAGAUAUUUUACUUGCUAGAUUUAAGUAUUAUUAAUUGAGAAUAAAUAAAGAAUCUACUUUUCUUUUGCUAAUCAAGAGCAAAACACUACACUCACACUUUGGAAAGGAUAAAAAUUAAAUGUUUCAAUUUUGAAACCAAUACCAAGAUUUUGGAAUGCACCAGGCACUACUAGGUUUUUAUUAUAAUUUGAUUGCUCAACUAAUCAAACCUUUAUUAACAUCAAUAGUAAGGUUAACUAACAACCUCUACUGAGCCAAAAUUUAUCAAUCCUUCUAUUGUGUAAAUUAGUUAUUUUAUAACAUUUAUGGACAAAAAAUGGAUCCUAAUGCAAUACAGGUGGAUAAUUAGUUAUUUCAUUUAUAAAAGGAAGAACAUAGAUAUAAUAUUUACAAUUUCAAAUUUAAGGGUAGAAAUAUACAUUGCUCAAGGGUAUGUUAUAUUUUAAAUAGCAACUGAUGAAUAAAUUUGUGACCAUCUUCUCUCACUACUGUCAUCAAGAGCCUACACAAUUUUUCUUGUCUGAUUAAAGUAUGAUUCCGAGACAAAAAAAAAAAUUUACCUUAGGACUUAGAAUUAUUCAAAAAGAAAAGUCCACGGUAGACUUUUCCCACGCUAUACCUUUACAAGAAUGGUGCGGUGCUGGUAGUGAUCACCAACGGGCAUGGCAGCAGCGACUUUGCUCGAGGCAAUUCGAAUCGUGGACAAGCUUUGCACAAUAUCCACUUCCAGCAAGGUCUGUAGAAACCAACAUAGGAUCCUCAUCGCGGCGGUCGGCUAUGUCCGAGACUACCUCAAGCAAAUCCAGGAUCUCAACUUCGCGAGCAACGGGCCAGCCUUCGUGUGGGACGAAACCGUGGCUGUCCUUAACAGAGGUCUCCAUCUCCUCAAGUCGUGCCAAGAAGGCAAUUGGAUCACGCGGAGCCUGCUGUUCGAGGAAAGCUGCAAUGAGUUUCAGAGCAUUUAUCCCGAGAUCUACAACUGCGUCGAGCUCAUCAGCGUCUAUCUCUUUCAGCUGGCACCGUCCACCUCGCACAGAUCCAGGAUUGCCGAGGCUUACAACUCGUGCCUCAUGAGGCAGAACUCGAGCAGCAUACUGGAAGAAGCCGAAAGGAACGAUCGGAAGGAGCUCAUGACUCUCGCAAUGAGCCAAGAGCCGGGAAGCCUGACGACUGAGACAGAACGAGCCAAAGAGAUACUCUGCUCCAUGCUCCUGGGAAACAAGUCAGUGAUUAACCACAAGGAACUCAAGCUGACAACACACCUGGGACAAGGAGCUUACGAAACCGUGUACGAAGCAAUCUGGCUCGGUCACAAGUUUGCAGUGAAAGUCUUCCCUCAAGGUGACACCAGCUUCGCCAAAGAGCUCGCGGUUCUUGAAGCGGACAAGCAUCCCAACGUGUUGCACAUCGCCGGCCAUUGUUUCGAUGAAGAGAAGCAGCGGUACUCGCUGGUGAUGGAGAAGAUGGAGAUGGACCUGGCAAACUACCUCCUCAAGAAGAAGAACUCUCUCCCGUUGCUGUCGAUCGUGGCAGUGAUGCUCCAAGUUGCUACUGGCAUGGCCUGGCUUCACUCGAAGAAUAUAAUCCACCGGGACCUCAAGCCGCAGAACAUCUUGGUUGGCGAAGAAGACAACGAUCUCGUGAGUAUCAGGAUUGCCGACUUUGGAGUCUCGAGGCCAAACUUCAUCUCCUCCCAGAUCGAAGCCGUUAGCAUCCAAGGCACCAGGAACUUCAUGGCACCGGAAGUGUGGAGCGGCGAGCGCUACACGAAAAAGGCCGACGUUUACAGGUACGGGAUGCUGAUUUACCAGCUUGUCACUGGAAACGUUCCGUUCGAGGACGGGAUGGACAUGGAGCAAGUCCUUCGAGGCGAGCGUCCUGAGGUACCAGCAACCUGUCCAGAGUUUCUGUCGCAGCUCAUGCGGGAAUGCUGGAGCCACGAUGCAAAAGAGAGGCCUUCCUUCUCGGAUAUCUGCGAGCGGCUGAAGCAGCUCAAGACCAGGAUCAUCACUGGCACCGACUCCAUCGACGAGUUACGAGCCAAGUUGGUUGCAGCAGCCAGGUCAUCUUCCUCUUCUUCGUACUCGUCGUCUUCCUCGUCCUCGUCGCACAGCAGGACUCGAGUGAACCUGGAUUCUCCUGUCCAAGCACCUGAAGGGCUUUCAACCCAAAAUCCUCCAUCUCCCGUUGUCCAGGUAAACUCUUUUGGUUUUAGUAACUCCACCUUUAGUUUCAGCCGGCACCACACCGUCCUCAGCACGUCGCACCAGCAGCAAAGCCGGAUAACAGGGCCGAGCUCUUCGAACUGGUGAAGAACGGCCUCGUCAAAAACGCCUUUGAGAAAGCUCUGUCCCUGAACGAUCCUUCCACGGUCUGGUGGCUUUGCACCAAGGUAAUCCAUUCACGUUCUCCAGCUGCUCAUCAAACCUUUGUCAGCUCAGGUGGAGCAAAGCGUCCUGCUCCUCUUCAGUGAAUCAAUGCUCAUGGAAGUGGCCGAGCAAAUCAACACCAACUUCAAGGAAGACACUGCUCCCAGGUUGCUCUGGAUCGAGGAUAUCCUGGACAUCUUGCUGUUCGUCGACAAUGUCAAUGGACAGACAUCACCUCGGAUGCAGAGGAUCUUGGAGAAGCUUUCACAGAACCUCCACGGCAUGAUGGCUAUAACACCGCCAAACAACGAGCUGGGGAUGAAGCUGGCGAAAGCGCUGGAAGAUACCAACAUGGGUCUUCAUGUACGUAUGAAACUCUUCGUGUUAUUCGUUUGAUUCAAAUCGUUUGUCGUCGCAGCAUAUCCGAGUUGAGAACAGCAAAGCUGAGAAGAAAGGGAAAAGAAAACAGGGACUUAUGAUGUGAAAUAAAACAGCUAUAUAUUUCCAGCAGAACACUGGUAGUUUGUGAGUAUUGAGAUCUAAUUUUCUGCCUGCCAAAAGUAUCAACCAUGAUUCACGAAAGAACCAUAAAGAACUUACCAAUUCCCAUUCGUAACUUCGUCUCAUCCUGCCGGGGAAAAUGUGAAGGAAACUUACGAGAUAAAUAUCAAAGCACAAAGGUUUCACCAUUCUUUAGUUCUUAAACUCGAGUAGACGGUGAAGAUCCCAACCUUUUCGAUCUAGCAGCAGCAGUAGCAGCCUUGGCAGCUUCCGCCGCAGCGCAGACACCAGUAGUUCUCGUAGGAUCAUCGCUCUCCGCUCAAAGAACGAUUUUGCCGCUUUCAACUUCUCGGGAUCCCCAUACUUGUAUGGCUUGUAGACGAUCCCGGCAGCUAGCCGUUGCUUCUUGAGCUUGGCUGGACGAACGUACGCAUCGCCCAGCUUGGCCUUCAAGCGCUUCUGGAUCACUCUCCUCCGGUACACUUGCGGCUCGGGAAUCUUGGGAUCGGCGAGCGGCAGGCGAUCCGGAGGAGGCACAGCAACCCACCUGAAAAUCCGAUCGUUCGCGUGACCACCACCACCGCCUCCCGCUUUGUUGCGCUUGCCCGGAUUCUUGGAGCCGGCGCCCUCGCCGUGCAAGCACUGCGUGUGGACGAGGAAUUUGCUCCGGAGCCACACGAGCAAGCGCCUGCUCUUGAUCCCUUCCUUCGCGUGAGAUUGCGCGAUCCAAUCGGGCCAUAGGUGCGAACAUUCUGCGUCGGCAGAUCCUUGGGGCUCUUCUUGGCGUAGACCUCGUGGAUGUAGAGGCGCAACGAGCGAGCUCCACUUCAAGAACCCUAUCGAAAUAUCGAUUGCAGAACAGAAUCGAACUAGAACAAGAACAGCAUGAUCCAUUUCUAGUCUCUCGUAAGUCCACGAUUGACGAGGUCGAGCGCGCAACCUGUGCUCGCUGCGCCAAGAAGAAUCCGAAAGACAAGCCAAAGUUUCUGGACAGGCGCUCAAGACGUUACGUGCAAACCACUGGUGGGGAUGCAGGAUACUGUCGUCAAACGCUAUGCUACCGGGAUGCGAGAGUGAACUAGCAGGGCGGAAACUAGGGUAUCCUGGCCGUCCAAUCCUAAACAACCUGUUUGGAGUACUGAAACAAGAAAAGCCAUUAACCUGAUUAAAGUAUCCCAGACAAGACUUAGGACUUAGAAUAUUCAAAAAGAAAAGUCAACGGUAGACUUUUCCCACUCUGCAAAGAAAUGGAGCGGCGCUAGUGGUGAUCACCAACGAGCAUGGCAGCAGCGACUUUGCUCGAGGCGAUUCGAAUCGCGGACAAGGUUGGCACAAGAUCCACGAACACAAACUCGAGCAAGGUCUGUAGAAACCAAUGUAGGAUCCUCAUCGCAGCGGUCGGCUAUGUCCGAGACUACCUCAAGCAAAUCCAGGAUCUCAACUUCGCGAGCAACGGGCCAGCCUUCGUGUGGGACGAAACCGUGGCUGUCCUUAACAGAGGCCUCCAUCUCCUCAAGUCAUGCCAAGAGGGCGAUUGGAUCGCCCGGAGCCUGCUGUUCGAGGAAAGCUGCGAUGAGUUCCAGGGCAUUUACCACGAGAUCUACAACUGCGUCGAGCUCGUCAGCGUCUAUCUCUUUCAGCUGACACCGUCCACCUCGCACAGAUCCAGGAUUGCCGAGGCUUACAACUCGUGCCUCAUGAGGCAAAACUCGAGCAGCAUGCUGGAAGAAGCCGGAAGGAACGAUCGGAAGGAGCUCAUGACUCUCGCAAUGAACCAAGAACCAGGAAGCCUGACGACCGAGACAGAACGAGCCAAAGAGAUACACUGCUCCAUGCUCCUGGGAAACAAGUCAGUGAUCAACCACAAGGAACUCAAGCUGAGAACACACCUGGGACAAGGAGCUUACGGAACCGUGUACGAAGCAAUGUGGCUCGGUCACAAGUUCGCGGUGAAAGUCUUCGCUCAAGGUGACACCAGCUUCGCCAAAGAGCUCGCGGUUCUCGGAGCUCACAAGCAUCCCAACGUGUUGCACAUUGCCGGCCAUUCUUUCGAUGGAGAGAAGCGGCAGUACUCGCUGGUGAUGGAGAAGAUGGACAUGGACCUGGCAAACUACCUCCUCAAGAAGAACUCCCUCUCGUUGCUGUCGAUCGUGGCAGUGAUGCUCCAAGUCGCUACUGGCAUGGCUUGGCUUCACUUGAAGAACGUAAUCCACCGGGACCUCAAGCCGCAGAACAUCUUGGUUGGCGAAGAAGACAACGAUCUCGUGAGUAUCAGGAUUGCCGACUUUGGAGUCUCGAGGCCCGAUUUCAUCUCCUCCCUCAUCAGCGAAGCCACCCCCAAGCAAGGCACCAGAAACUUCAUGGCACCAGAAGUGUGGACCAGCGAGCGCUACACGAAGAAGGCCGACGUUUACAGCUACGGGAUGCUGAGCUACCAGCUUGUCACUGGAAACACUCCGUUCAAGGUCGGGAUGGACAUGGAGCAAGUCCUUCGAGGCGAGCGUCCUGAGAUACCAGCCACCUGUCCAGAGUUCCUGUCGCAGCUCAUGCGGGAAUGCUGGAGCCACGAUGCAAAAGAGAGGCCUUCCUUCUCCGAUAUCUGCAAGCGGCUGAAGCAGUUCAAGUCCAGGAUCAUCACUGGCACCGACUCCAUCGACGAGCUACGAGCCAAGUAGGUUGAAGCAGCCAGGUCAUCUUCCUCUUCUUCGUACUCGUCGUCUUCCUUGUCCUCGUUGCACAGCAGGACUCGAGUGAACCUGGAUUCUCUUGUCCAAGCGACUGAGAAGCUCUGGACCCAAAAUCCCCCGCCUUGUCGUGUCCAGGUAAACUCUUUUGCUUUAUGUAACUUCUGGAGCUCACCACCUUUGGUUUCAGCCGGUACCACACCGUCCUCACCAGGUCGCACCAUUACCAAAACCAGAUCAAAGGACCGAGCUCUUCGAACUGGUAAAGAACGGCCUCAUCAUAAACGCCUUCGAGAAAGCUCUGUCCCUGAACGAUCCUUCCACAGUCUGGUGGCUUUGCACCAAGGUAAUCUGUUUACGCUCUCUGGCCGCUGAUCACGCCCGUCCUUUGUCAACUCAGGUAGAGCAUACCGUGCUGCUUGUCUUCAGUGAAUCGAUGCUCAUGGCACUGGCCGAGAAAAUCAACACCAACUUCACGGAAGACACUGCUCGCAGGCUGGUCUGGAUCGACGAGAUUGGCGUCUUGCUGUUGAAAGACGUCAAUGGAUGGGCAUCACCUCGGAAGAUGAGGAUCCUGGAGCAGCUUUCACAGAACCUCCACGGUAUGAUGGCCAUAACACCACCAAAGAGUGAGCUGGGCAUGACCUUGACGAACAUGCUGGAAGGCACCAACGUGUGGCUGCAGGUUCGUACAUAUGAAGCUCUUCGUUUCUUUCGUUUCCAUCUCCUUGAUUCACAUCGUUUUGUUGCAGCGUAUCCGGGUUGCUGUGGAAAACAAAGUUCGAUACAUGAGCAUCGUUGGCGGAUAUUUUCCAGCGGAAUACCGGUAGUUUCUGGAUGUUGAUGUCCUGGCAUAAAACAUGCUUCACCUUACCCUGGCCAGCAAAACUUACGAGGAAAAGAAUGAGCUCACCUGUUUUCUACAGCCGUGACCUUUGGCAAGCUGAAGACCUUGCUCCCCAACUGAAAUCGCUUGCUCGCUCGCCUAAACCCUAAUUUCGCUCAGUUAAUGAUCGAUUCCAGCCUGGAUUUGAAUUGAAAGGGUUGCGGCACUGCUUGCUGCCGCUGGAGACGAUCUGAUGUCCCUGCUGCUACAAGGGAAGGCUUCCUUGGGCUGGAGAUUUGCUGAUGCUGCCAAGAGGCCUCUCUUCUUGCUGGGCACUAGGCGUGGAAUUGCUGUGCGAAAGGGCCUUGAGGCUGAUGGAGAGAUCACAUUCGAGUGGGGGAGAUGGAGCUGGUUCCUGACGGGUCCUGAUACAAGCUGGGGUGUGUGCAAGCUUGGGUACCAUGCUGCUGCUGCUGUUCAACACCACAAGAUGCUGAUUUCAUGAGCUCAGCUUUUCUGGCUGAGUGGGGGAGUGAGAUAGGGUUCCCAGUGGUUUAGCAUUAGUUUCUUUUUUUUUUAGCCUUCGCAUACUGAUCUCGGAGCAAUAGAGUUUUUUUCUUUUCUUCCUUAGUUUUCAACAUGGACAACACAAGUAGCCUGUGAAUUAAUGAGGUACAAUAGAAGAGGAUCUAGCCCAGCUUGAUUAGGAAUUUCCACUGUUGGAGCUUACAUGAUCUCUUUUUGUUGAAGACAUGAAAUGCUGAAUUAAGCCAUACUGACAGUAUGUAUAGAAUCUGGCCACCUGCAACAUAUGUCAAUAAGCCACUUUCUACUGGUGAUGAUUACUUACAUAACAAAGCUAAAUCAAUGGUGCUUGACAUACACCCCAGGAUCUUCAUCUUGCUCCAUGAUCUCAAGUACAACAUUUGGAAGCUUGCAUGUGAGGAAACCCUGGAUAACCACAGCGAAAUCUUCCAAGAACUUGAUAAGUCUUCAAGAGUAUCAACGAUUGCCUUACAAGUCUCAUUCCUAGUCACAGUACUUUCGCUGAUUCUGUAGAGCUCUAAGAGUGUGAUAUACUUCUGCUCCGUUUCAUAGCUUGUACAAAGUACAAGCAACCCAGAUUUGCACAAAAACUGCUCUACGAUAGCUGGUAUCUUGCUUUCGAAUGUGAUGGUGUAGGAGAUGCACAAUACUAUUAAAUGUUGUCUUUCAUGGGCUUGAUAUCUAGCCUGAAUAAAGAACUUGCUCUAGCUCGUCAAACAUUUCUUGCAUGAUCCUCAUUUGUAGUUUCUCUGGGAUCAAAGCUUGCUUCCCAGCCUCAUCAAGGUUGCACAUCAGUUACUCUUGUUAUAUUUUUCUACUCUACUGUGAGAAGCUUCACUAAGAUGCACUCCCACUUCUUGGCUAUCGANNNNNNNNNNNNNNNNNNNNNNNNNNNNNNNNNNNNNNNNNNNNNNNNNNNNNNNNNNNNNNNNNNNNNNNNNNNNNNNNNNNNNNNNNNNNNNNNNNNNACUCCACCAAUAGAGGUUUACGACACCCAACACCACUAACUUUUGUUCACAACACGGACAAGCUCAUGCCACUCUCUUUCCGACCAAACUCAACACUAAUCCAACACCAAGCUACUCAAGGAGCAAUAGCAAGGUUCCCCGGAAAAGAAUUGAGCAUUGCAACCCAAGUCUUUCAAUAGCGAGCCUAGACAAAAUGGUUUAGUGUUUCACCACUAUCCAUCCCAUAACUCACCACUUGUAAGACCAUCACUUCCAACAUGCAUCAAGGUAGGGACUCUUGAUUGCAUAAUGUGAACACAAGCAAUGAGUUAACACCUCAUUGCAAAUCAUCUCUCCAAGAAGAGAAAAUGAUUUACGUAUUUGAUCCUCCGUCCUCGAUGACUCUCUUUUCGGUCUCAUCUUUGACCAAACCUCAAGCUUGCUUUCGCACUGCCUUCAGUUCAAUCGAAGAAAAGUUUAUGAGAGAGCACGGCAAUGAUUACUUGAACCAAUAGACUAUUCCCUACAGUCUUGACUGAUCCAAUUAUAAUCAUGCCUAGGAAGGAUCCACUAGUGCCGUGCUAAACAGCUAUGGACCAGCCUAUUUGCCACUCAUAGCAAACUCAGGGAAAGUUUACUUUCACCCACGGUACAUGGAACAACUCAUGGAACCACUGGAACCAUCGAUAGGCUUACAUUAAUCCUGCCAACUUAAAGUGUAACCUCAAGUUGCUAAUGCGCCUCACUCACGAGCCCAAGCUCAAACUCGUGCAAAUGGAACAUCUCCAAUCCAUCCUAUGAGCCCAAGCGCAAGCUCACAUCAUAAGGUACAACAAGGUAACCCAAAACCUAUCCCAAGGAACCAAUGCGAAGUCUUUGCACCAAAACGUGUACCCACUCGGAUCAUCGUUUUCAUCUCUGCGUAUGCAACGAGACUAGUUGCCCAAUCUCAUUGAAUAGUACUCGCUGAGACUCAUCCUCUGAUACCAAAUGUAGCGCACGUGGUUUUGACCCUUUAUCCUAUGGUGAUUUACCAUAGGAUAACACCACAAAGCGGAACCUAAACCCUCUUUGUGCCACGUGACAGAUGCCACGUGUCACAUGCCACGUGUCCAUGCCACGUGUCCAUAGAAACCCGAGGUUCAGGGCCUUGGGCCACUGAACGAAGGAACGGUGCCAAACUCCCAAGCGUGGAGCCAAGGAGUGAUGGAACCGGACCACGGAGCAACUCCCGAGCAUACAGCCCAAGGAGCGAAGGGACAGGAGCCCGGAGCGACUUGGAACAGUCCUAGAGCAACCAGCAUCCCAAUGCCAGGACCAGCACGCAAAACGGAGCCAAACAGAGUCUGGCGCUAUUUCGGCAUACCGGUGGCCUAACGCGAGGAUAUGGGUACUCCACCAACUAGCAUGGAAUGGAACUUGGGCUUAGACCCAAGCCGGACGCAGAACAAGGACAGGCACGCAAGCGGGAGCUAGACUAUGCCUCAGGUUGGUCGGCCAUGCCCGACCUACCCACUAUCCCUACUAUACAUUUGGAACCCCCCACAGCCCCCCCCCCUUGAGGAACACACGCUUUGGGCUUUCACCCCAAGCCUCCCUUAGUAUCAGGAGUUAGUCUCUGGGACAAACUCGAAACUUACUAAAUAUGGAAUGUCCUUAGAUUGCGAAUUUGGACACGGGACAAACACCAUUGUGUUCAGGCCGAUCUCUACAUUCUGUAGAUAUGCCAAAUGAGCAAAUCUGGACACUUUCCAUAAAUAGCAUUUGGGACCGAAAUGAGACUAACACAAAGGGCAUGAUAGCAAGGGUGUUUGGCAGACACGGUAAGCUAUCAUCUAGCGAUGUUGAGGGACCAAUCUCAAUAUCGCGGGGGUUCUUGAUACUAGCAAGUGCAAGCCAAUGACACAAGUUUCUCAAACCAGGCCGAGUAUGCUCAGCAAGAAACACAUAGGGUUCCUACCUUAUGUUUAUCCAAUCUAAGUGCAUGUUCAUUGACCAGUUUCUCAACUAGUUCAAGUGGGAACUGAUAACGGGUCCAGCAAUACCGACCUCCUGCCAUCGUGGCAGUAAGGUAAGAGUGUCCGUAAGGACUGGCCGACAGGUAACUUUCGAUACCUGAAGUCACAUUCGCGACAAUGAGACUCAAGCUCUAAAUCUUACUUUUCACGUCAUACAAUAUAAAAUUGUGUUCUAGGCUCCAUUGCCCCACUAUAUAAGUUCUAAAAGAGUUAGCAAACAAAUUCUAACACAUUGAAUUGAAUCCUUACAUUUCAAUGGCAAUCAUUACACCAUUUGUAGUGAUGAAAACUCUAACUAGUGCAUGUUUUUAAAGUGUUGGUGCAAUUUCUUUUAAUAUCUCCAUUUCAAUAGGAUCCUCCACCAGUGGUGUUUUUAUGUGAUUUGUAGUGGAGUUGAUUCUUCCACAAUUUGUAAAGGACCAAGAUCUUGUUGAAAAAAUGCAUAUGUUUUGUGGAUCUGGGGAAUAGAAUAUAAUAUGGUCCUCGAUAUUGAAGCCAUAUGUACAUGAAUAACAUGCCCAUUCUAAGCCUAAAAAUUCACAAUACCCACCUCAAUAGAGCAUGAAUGUUUCUCUUAGGAAACAAAAAUAAUAACAAAUGUGUCAAUAGGUAGAAAUUUAUUAUGCCACCCACAAAUUAGUAUUCCCGUACAUGAAUUAGAACCAUGCAUGGUUGAUCUAUAAAUAUUGCCUCUAAAUCUCCAUUUACACUUUGCAUAAAACACAGGUUCAUAUUGUUUACUAUAUAUUUUAAAGCUUAUCAGCAAAAGACUAGCUUGAAAGUAUGUUUGCGUGAGUGUGGUCAUGUAUAUGUAUAGGUUGAGCAAAUUCAGCAAAGUGGAGGGCAUCACCCAUAUGCCCCCUUCCACGUCAUAUAAACACAUGCAUAAUUGACACAUAAAGAAUCAUUACAACCACUUGUGUAUAACUAUAACAUUCCAAUGCCCCACAAUUAUGCUCACUGCAAUGAGCAUAAAACUUAUACCAAUGAAAAAAGCUAAAUAAAUGAAAAAUUACCCCACACAAUAACUAUCUCUAUGUAUUGCAAUAUGCCCAAGAAAAGAAACAAAAAGCCUUGACCAACAAUCUAAUAUAAACUCCAACCUUAAGUCCACAAUCAAUGCAAGAACAAUGCCUAUAUCACGUGGGAAUAGCACAAUAUGCCCAAAACACAAAGGAACGAGAGUUACAAGUAUUUGCAAUCUCACUUAACCUUGAUCAAUAUAUGCUAAUCUUCAAGUGCCAACAUCACUCCUAAAUAGCACACAUGAAAGAAUGGAAGUCAUAACUGCUUGCAUACAAAGACCUCUCACCCAAACCCUAAUCAAUGCAUGCUCCUACUCUUCAUCACACCCACCAAUAUGUAAAAUUUGCUUUUGAAGCAUAUCAUGCCCACAUCACACCUAAGAUUGUGGGAAAGCUGUUGUUCUUGGCUGGAUAUAAAGGAAGUGCAAUACUAAAGACAAAAAAAACUUCACUAGAUUUUUUGUGAUGUCUAUGUGGCAGGUUUAAAUGGCAUACAAAUCACAUUUUAAUCAUAUAAAAUGAUGUACUUUAAAUUCUGUUGAUUCCAUAUCAUCAUAUUUUCUUGUAGUGUUAGUGAUAUAAAAAACAUAUUUAACUUUACUUUUACUACAUAGGCCUUGCAAAACACCUCUGAUAUCUUGGAUCAAACUUCCAUGCUUAGUCACCUAAAACAGUACUUUUAGAAGUUCAGACUCUUAAACAACUUUAAGUAGCCUUUUAUGGUCUUAUUAAACGUAUUAUUCCCCAGGAGUAAUGGAUAUUUCUGCACACCCACAUUGGCAAGUUGCAUCAAACACAAUCACUUAGCAAGUUGGCCUCAAACACAAUCACGUUUCCCCAAUAACUAGCACAACUCCACCAAAAAAAUAUCAAUAGCAUUACCCCUUGAUCUUGCCACUAUGGAGAACAAAACGUGCCAUGAUACUAGUUUAUAUUUUCGAAGCGCAACUACACAUGAAAUUCGAAAAGUCAACAAUCAUUUUCCAGGAUAUAGCUUUCUAACAUCAAUCGGCGCUGGUGGUGAUUGCAUGGCAGCAAAAAGUUUGGCCGAGGCAAUUCGAAUCUCGGACAAAGUUGCCGCAAGGUCCACGAACACAAACUCGAGCAAGGUCUGUAGGAACCAAUGUAGGAUCUUCUUAGCAGCGGUCGACCAUGUCGGAGACUACCUCAAGCGAAUCCAGGAUCUCAACUUCGCGAGCACUGGGACAGCUUUCGUGUGGGACGAAACCGUGGCUGUCCUUAAGAGAGGCCUCCAUCUCCUCAAGUCGUGCCAAGAAGGCAAUUGGAUCGCGCGGAGCCUGCUGUUCAAGGAAAGCUGCGAUGAGUUCCAGAGCAUUUAUACCGUCCACCUCGGUAAGAUCCAAGAUUGCCGAAGCUUACAACUCGUGCCUCAUGAGGCAAAACUCGAACAGCAUGCUGGAAGAAGCCGGAAGGAAUGACAGGAAGGCGCUCAUGGCUCUCGCAAUGAGCCAAGAGCCGGGAAGCCUGACGACCGAGAGCGAGCAAGCCAAAGAGAUACUUUGCUCCAUGCUCCUGGGAAACAAGUCAGUGAUUAACCACAAGGAACUCAAGCUGACAACACACCUGGGACAAGGCGGUUUCGGAACCGUGUACGAAGCAAUCUGGCUCGGUCACAAGUUUGCAGUGAAAGUCUUCCCUCAAGGUGACAAGAGCUUCGCCAAAGAGCUCGCGGUUCUCGAAGCGGACAAGCAUCCCAACGUGUUGCACAUCGCCGGUCAUUCUUUCGAUGAAGAGAAGCAGCGGUACUCGCUGGUGAUGGAGAAGAUGGACAUGGACCUGGCAAACUACGUCCUCAAGAAGAACUCUCUCCCGUUGCUGUCGAUCGUGGCAGUGAUGCUCCAAGUUGCUACUGGCAUGGCGUGGCUUCACUCGAAGAAUAUAAUCCACCGGGACCUCAAGCCGCAGAACAUCUUGGUUGGCGAAGAAGACAACGAUCUCGUGAGUAUCAGGAUUGCCGACUUUGGAGUCUCGAGGCCAAACUUCAUCUCCUCCCAGAUCGAAGCCGUUAGCAUCCAAGGCACCAGGAACUUCAUGGCACCGGAGGCGUGGAGCAGCGAGCGCUACACGAAAAAGGCCGACGUUUACAGCUACGGGAUGCUGAUUUACCAGCUUGUCACUGGAAACGUUCCGUUCGAGGACGGGAUGGACAUGGAGCAAGUCCUUCGAGGCAAGCGUCCUGAGAUACCAGCCACCUGUCCAGAGUUCCUGUCGCAGCUCAUGCGGGAAUGCUGGAGCCACGAUGCGAAAGAGAGGCCUUCCUUCUCGGAUAUCUGCGAGCGGCUGAAGCAGCUCAAGACCAGGAUCAUCACUGGCAUCGAGUCCAUCGACGAGUUACGGGUCAAGUUGGUUGAAGUAGCCGGGUCGUCUUCCUCUUCUUCGUACUCGUCGUCUUCCUCAUCCUCGUCGCACAGCAGGACUCGAGUGAACCUGGAUUCUCUUGUCCAAGCGACUGAAGGGCUUUGGACCAAAAAUCCUCCAUCUCCCCUUGUACAGGUAAACUCUUUUGUUUUUAGUAACUUCCGGUGCUCAUCGUGUUUAGUUUCAGCCGGUACCACACCGUCCUCAGCACUUCGCACCAGUAGCAAAACCGGAUAACAGGACCGAGCUCUUCGAACUGGUGAAGAACGGCCUCGUCAGAAACGCCUUCGAGAAAGCUCUGUCCCUGAACGAUCCUUCCAUGGUCUGGUGGCUUUGCACCAAGGUAAUCCAUUCACGUCCUCCAGCUGCUCAUCAAAGCUUUGUCAGCUCAGGUGGAGCAUACCGUCCUGCUUGUCUUCAGUGAAUCAAUGCUCAUGGAACUGGCCGAGCAAAUCAACACCAACUUCAAGGAAGACACUGCUCGCAGGUUGCUCUGGAUCGACGAGAUUGGCAUCUUGCUGUUCAAAGACGUCAAUGGACAGGCAUGGUCAUCACCUCGGGUGCUGAGGAUCUUGGAGCAGCUUUCACAGAACUUCCACGGCAUGAUGGCUAUAACACCGCCAAAGAGCGAGCUGGGGAUGAAGCUGGUGAACAUGCUGGGUGGCACCAACAUGGGUCUCCAGGUUCGUAUGAAGCUCUUCGUGUUAUUCAUUUGAUUCAAAUCGUUUGUUGUCGCAGCAUAUCUGUUAGGCACCAGCUUUGACUACGUGGUCAACAUCGGUCAAAGGGUAUAUGAAGGCAUGUUAGGGUAAGGGACUUAACUUACCCUAGGGCUCACAGUGGAGUGGUGGUGCAGUGGAACUUUUGAGGUAGCUCAGGGGUGGUUGGGUGGUGAGGAACCUCAAGAGGUGGCAUAGCAUAAUCUAGGGCAACUAGAUUUUUGUCUUUUUGCGCCGGAUCAUAACAUUGGUAUCAGAGAAGUUGGUUGCGAUGGCCGACCAAGCUGAACGCUGGAAUCCUAUUGUCGAUGGUGGUGCCAACAAUGGUGCUGACGAAGCUGCAGAGAUUUAGACCAUUCAAGAUGUGGUUCAUGAGCUGCGAGCCCUUAACCGAAAUCAGUAAGAGAUGCAAGAUGAGAUGCAUGGCAUGAUGGAUACCAUGCGUGGGCGUGUUGAGGCACUCGAGGCUGGACGGGGUAGCGCUCCAAGUAAACCUUCUUUGGUAGAUCGACUCAAAAUUCCAAAUUUUUCCGGUGAUGGUGGUGUGGACGAGUGUCUCGCUUGGCUAGCCAAUGUGAAGAAGUUCUUGGCUGCUAGAGGAACUCCAGAUGCAGAGGCUUUAGUGGCUAUUCCGAUGGUUUUGCGUGAUGCGGGUUUUCGAUGGUGGAAUUGGCUUGAGGAGUCCCGUGUUGUGGAUAAGAAACCACCAGUGUCUACCAUGGAUGAGUUUGAGGUUGCUUUUCAUUUAUGUUUUGCCCCUCAUUACGACAUGGAGAAUGCUCGUACAGAACUUUGACAUUUUCAGCAAAGGAAAAUGAUGCUCGGGGACUAUAUUGAGAAGCUUACUUGCUUGAUUAGUCGUGUUCCAACGAAGGAUCCAGAUCAGAACAAGUCCUACUUCAUUGAUGGCCUACAUAGUGAGAGCAUGCGGCAACACUUGCGUCAUUCUCAGCCUACAAAGAGUUUGAAGGAGCUCUUUGAUGUGGCUCGUCGACUUGACAAUGAUAAGCACAAGUCUCGCAAGCGUUUGCGGAGUCCUUCUGUCGAGAAUCGUCGUGAUGAUCACCAUGGACACAAGGAUGGGAACAAGCAUCACAAAUUGAAGUCAGUGGUGACUACUUCGGAUGCAAAGGGGUCCAAGAAGUAGAAGUUCUUUGUGAAGAAUUAUAGACAAGGUUGUCAUCAUUGCGGCGAACUUGGACANNNNNNNNNNNNNNNNNNNNNNNNNNNNNNNNNNNNNNNNNNNNNNNNNNNNNNNNNNNNNNNNNNNNNNNNNNNNNNNNNNNNNNNNNNNNNNNNNNNNNNNNNNNNNNNNNNNNNNNNNNNNNNNNNNNNNNNNNNNNNNNNNNNNNNNNNNNNNNNNNNNNNNNNNNNNNNNNNNNNNNNNNNNNNNNNNNNNNNNNNNNNNNNNNNNNNNNNNNNNNNNNNNNNNNNNNNNNNNNNNNNNNNNNNNNNNNNNNNNNNNNNNNNNNNNNNNNNNNNNNNNNNNNNNNNNNNNNNNNNNNNNNNNNNNNNNNNNNNNNNNNNNNNNNNNNNNNNNNNNNNNNNNNNNNNNNNNNNNNNNNNNNNNNNNNNNNNNNNNNNNNNNNNNNCUUGUGUCGAGGGGCUGGAAGUGUUGGUUGGCAAAACCACACUUGUGGAGACUUUUUAUCUCACGGAUAUCCAUCGUGUGGAUCUCAUUCUUGGGAUGCCAUGGUUGGCAAAGGUGGAUCCAGAGAUAAAGUGGAGCAUUAAGCGUAUCUCGCUGGAGUAUGGUGGCGUUAAAGAUGUGUGGUUUGGCGAGGGCGUUCAACCACCAGUUGUUAUGCUCUCUGCUACAUCUUUGAAACGGGCUUGUCAUAAUAAAAAAGCACUUUCAAGUUACUUGCUGUUUGUUCGUGACUUGGGGGACCAAGGCACGUGUGGGGGAGAAGCAGCAGUACAGGAUAUAUUUGACGAGUUUUCUGAUGUUUUUCCAUAUGAACUUCCUCAUGGAUUACCUCCGUUACGAGGUGUGGAGCAUGGGAUUACAUUGGAGUCGGGGAUGCGGCCAAUUUACCAGUGUCCAUUUUGGUUAAGUUAUGCGCAGGAGCAAGAAGUUCAACGACAAGUCAAGGAGUUACUUGAGUUUGGAUUUAUUCAGCCAAGUAAGUCUCCGUUUGGUGCUCCAGUCUUGCUUGUGAAGAAGAAAGACGGUUCAAUGCGGUGAAGGACAAGAUUUACCGUGCUUUAAACAAGAAGACAGUGAAGGACAAGAUGCCGAUGCCACGUGUGGAUGAUAUCCUGGACAAGCUUGGUGAAGCACGAGUGUUUACUAAGAUUGAUCUGAGGAGUGGAUAUCAUCAGAUUGCAAUGGAUGAUGCAUCUAUCUCCAAGACGGCAUUCAACACAAGUUUCGGACAUUUUGAGUUUACCGUUAUGCCGUUUGGUUUGACGAAUGCACUGGCCACAUUUACUCAGUUGAUGACGGAGGUAUUUGGGCGUUAUCUUCAUGAGUUUGUGAAGAUUUUCUUGGACGAUAUUCUUGUUUUUAGCAAGAAUAUGGAGGAGCAUAGGGUGCAUUUGCGCAAGGUUCUUUUGUUACUUUGAGAUAGCAAACUUUAUGCGAAGAAGAGCAAAUGUGAAUUUGCAAAGUCGGAGGUGGAAUAUCUAGGCCAUAUUGUGACAUCUAAGGGUGUCAAGACAGAUCCAGGAAGGUGGCUAUGGUGGAAAACUGGCCUACACUGACUACAGUGGCCGAGUUGUGCAGUUUUCUUGGUAUGGCUAGUUACUACCGACGUUUCCAGCAUAAGUUUGCAGAGGUGGCUAUUCCUUUGACGUGGUUGUUACGCAAGAAUGUGCCAUUCGAGUGGAAGAAGCCACAAGAGGAGAGUUUUGUAGCGCUGAAAUGAUUGUUGAGCGAGGCUCUAGUGCUUCGCAUUGCUGAUCCAUUGAAACCUUACGAGGUGACAUGCGAUGUGAGUGGUUAUGCACUGGGAGGAGUUUUUAUGCAAGAGGGACAGCCUAUUGCAUGUGAGAGUCGAACUUUGAAUUCCGCAAAGCAAUGUUAUUCCACAUAUGAGCAAGAGUUACUCUCUAUUGUUCAUGCUUUGUAGACGUGGCGGCACUAUCUUUAUGGUGCAGUGUUCGUGGUGUUGACAGAUCACAAACCACUUGUGUAUCUUUUCACACAGAAGGAGUUGAACACUAGACAAGCUCGUUGGAUGGUCAAACUCAUGGAGUUUGGGGAGUUUCCUAUUGAGCAUUGUCCGGGAAAAUCCAAUGUGGUGGCAGAUGCUUUAUCUCGUGUUCGUCAUAUGACGACAUUACAAACACGAUUUUGUCAUCAUUUGAGUAAGGUGGUCAGUGGGUUUGGACAGUUGGUUGAGCAUGCUCAGGCUCAGGAUGCUGAGGUGGCCUCUUUGCGUGACCAGAUGGAAGCUCCUUUCUCAUUGGUGGAUGGGAUUCUCUAUUACAAUGGCCGUGUAUAUUUGCCACGGGUGGAUGCGUUAAUUACUCAAGUUUUAUUCCACUAUCAUGAUCGUCCAGAGGCCGGUCAUUUUGGGGGGAAGAAGACGUAUAAAUUGAUUAAGCGCAACUUUUAUUGGAGGAAUAUGAAGGUUGAUAUCCUCAAGUAUUGUAAAUCAUGCGAGCUUUGUCAGCGGGUUAAGGUGCCACGAGAGAAGCCGGGGGGACUUUUGCAACCUUUACCUAUUCCUCAGAGCCGUUGGUGUAGUAUCUCUAUGGACUUCAUCACUUGUUUGCCACGAACACAGAGGCAAAAGGAGCAAGUAUGGGUUAUAGUGGAUCGGUUGACAAAGUAUGUGCGGUUGUUGGCUCUUCGGAAGAUUGUCACUGCCUCAGACUUGGCUGCGGUUUACUUGGAGAAGGUUUUUCCUGAUUUUGGUUUGCCAGAGGACAUCAUUAGUGAUCGAGAUUCAAAGUUCACCAGUGGAUUUUGGAAAAGCUUUGCAAAGGUUAUACAAGUGACUUUGAAACUCUCGAGUGGAGAUCAUCCUUAGACGGAUGGGCAAACCGAGCGUGUAAAUCAAAUGGUGGAGGAUAUGCUACAUUGUAGCAUUGGUCAAAGGCAAGGACAGUGGGAUUUUUAUCUUCCGUUGGUGCAAUUUGCUUACAACAAUAGCCAACACAGUGGAACCAAGCUAAGUCCUUACUUUGCCAUGUUUGGAAGGCAUCCUCAAAUAGUAGUGGAGUUGGGAUUGCAUUUGAGUAAAGACAUUCAAGAUAAGCUUGAUUCCAAGGCAACUGAUCUGGCCACAGAACUUGAUGAGAUCUUGGUGGUGUGCAAACAAAAUUUGCAAGCAGCUCAGGAUAGAGCGGAGAAGUUUGCCAAUGAGCAUCACCAAUUCCAGGAAUAUAAGGUGGGUGGUCUGAUCUUUGUACGCGUGAUCUUUCCGUCAAGUGAGCGGUAGAACACCUUGGUGCCUUUACGGACAGGGAAGAGUGAUAAACUUUCCCAUCGAUAUGCUAGUCCAUAUGAAGUGCUGGAGCACUUUGGUAAAGCGGCUUAUCGGGUGUGGCUGCUAGCUGGGGUGAAAAUUCAUCCGGUAUUUUAUGUCAGCCAGUUGAAAGGUGUACUAUUUCGGAGUGACGGGCCCAAUGCCUCCUUGAUGUAUACAGCUGUGGAAGAUGGACCAGAAGCUUGAGUAGGAUUCCCUAGAAAGGGUGAUCACAAAUUCAACUCGUCCUUGGGACAAGGACUUUGUUGGGGGGGAAGAAUUGUUAGGCGCCAGCUUUGACUACGUGGUCAACGUCAGUCAAAAGGGGGCUCAAGGGUAUAUGAAGGCAUGUUAAGGUAAGGGACUUAACCUACCCUAGGGCUCACAGUGGAGUGGCGGCGCAAUGGAGCUUUUGAGGUAGUUUGGGGGUGGUUGGGUGGUGAGGUGGUGUAGCAUAAUCUAGGGCAACUAGAUUUUUGUCUUUUUGCGCCGGAUCAUAACAGUAUCUGAGUUGCAGUUGACAGCAAAGUUCAACACAUGAGAGUCCUUGGAGGAUACUUUCCAGUGGAACACCGGUAGUUUCGGAGUAUUUCGAUGUUCUAAUUUCCUGCCUGCCAAAAGCAUCAACCAUGCUUCAUGAAAGAACCAUAAAGAACUUACCAAUUCCCGUUCUGAACUUUGAGUAAACACCUAUCAUCGUUUCAUCCUGCGACAAAUAUCCAAGAACAAAGCUCUCACCAUUCUUUAGUUUUAAACUUGAGUAGACGGGUGAAGAUCCCAACCUUUUCGAUCUAGCAGCAGCAGUAGCAAGCAGCCUUGGCAGCUCCCGCAGCAGCGUAGACACCAGUAAUUCUCGUCGCCACAGCAUCGAGGAUCAUUGCUCUCCGCUCAAAGAACGACUUUGCCACUUUCAGCUUCUCGGAUCCCCAUAGGCUUGUAGACGAUCCCGGCAGCUAGCCGCUGCUUCAUGACCUUGGCUGGACGAACGUAAGCAUCGCCCAGCUUGGCCUUCAAUCUCUUUGGCACCUGAAAAUCCGAUCGACCACCACCACCGCCCCCCGCUUUGUUGCGCUUGCCCGGAUUCUUGGAGCCGGUGCUCUCGCCGUGCAAGGACGAAGAAUUUGCUGGAGCCACACCAGCAAGCGCCUUGUCUUGCUCUUUGAUCCCUUCCUUCUUGGUGUGCUCGGACCAGAGAUCGCGCGAUGCGAACAAUGCUGAGUACGUGGGGCUCUUCUUGGCGUAGAGGAAGGGAUUGGGAGAGAUCCACCUCGUGGAUGUAGAGGCGCAACGAGCGAGCUCCACUGCAAGAAUAUCGAUAUCGAGGAUGACAAGAAAAGCCAUUUCUUAUGCCUGAUUAAAGUAUAAUUCCCAGACAAGACUUAGGAUUUAUAAUUACUCAAAAGAAAAGUCCACGGUAGACUUUUCCCACGCUGCAAAGCAAUGGAGCGGCGCUAGUGGUGAUCACCGACGAGCAUGGCAGCAGCGAAUUUGCUCGAGGCGAUUCGAAUCGCGGACAAGGUUGGCACAAGAUCCACGAACACAAACUCGAGCAAGGUCUGUAGAAACCAAUGUAGGAUCCUCAUCGCGGCGGUCGGCUAUGUCCGAGACUAUCUCAAGCAAAUCCAGGAUCUCAACUUCGCGAGCAACAGGCGAGCCUUCGUAUGGGACGAAACCGUGGCUGUCCUUAAAAGAGGCCUCCAUCUCCUCAAGUCAUGCCAAGAGGGCGAUUGGAUCGCUCGGAGCCUGCUGUUUGAGGAAAGCUGCGAUGAUUUCCAGAGCAUUUACGCCGAGAUCUACAACUGCGUCGAGCUCGUCAGCGUCUAUCUCUUUCAGCUGGCACCGUCCACCUCGCACAGAUCCAGGAUUGCCGAGGCUUACAACUCGUGCCUCAUGAGGCAGAAUUCGAGCAGCAUGCUGGAAGAAGCCGGAAGGAACGAUCGGAAGGAGCUCAUGGCUCUCGCAAUGAACCAAGAGCCGGGAAGCCUGACGACCGAGACAGAACGAGCCAAAGAGAUACUCUGCUCCAUGCUCCUGGGAAACAAGUCAGUGAUCAACCACAAGGAACUCAAGCUGAGAACACACCUGGGACAAGGAGCUUACGGAACCGUGUACGAAGCAAUCUGGCUCGGUCACAAGUUCGCGGUGAAAGUCUUCGCUCAAGGUGACACCAGCUUCGCCAAAGAGCUCGCGGUUCUCGGAGCUCACAAGCAUCCCAACGUGUUGCACAUUGCCGGCCAUUCUUUCGAUGGAGAGAAGCGGCAGUACUCGCUGGUGAUGGAGAAGAUGGACAUGGACCUGGCAAACUACCUCCUCAAGAAGAACUCCCUCUCGUUGCUGUCGAUCGUGGCAGUGAUGCUCCAAGUCGCUACUGGCAUGGCUUGGCUUCACUCGAAGAACGUAAUCCACCGGGACCUCAAGCCGCAGAACAUCUUGGUUGGCGAAGAAGACAACGAUCUCGUGAGUAUCAGGAUUGCCGACUUUGGAGUCUCGAGGCCCGAUUUCAUCUCCUCCCUCAUCAGCGAAGCCACCCCCAAGCAAGGCACCAGAAACUUCAUGGCACCAGAAGUGUGGACCAGCGAGCGCUACACGAAGAAGGCCGACGUUUACAGCUACGGGAUGCUGAGCUACCAGCUUGUCACUGGAAACAUUCCGUUCAAGGUCGGGAUGGACAUGGAGCAAGUCCUUCGAGGCAAGCGUCCUGAGAUACCAGCCACCUGUCCAGAGUUCCUGUCGCAGCUCAUGCGGGAAUGCUGGAACCACGAUGCGAAAGAGAGGCCUUCCUUCUCGGAUAUCUGCGAGCGGCUGAAGCAGCUCAAAUCCAGGAUCAUCACUGGCACCGACUCCACCGACGAGCUACGAGCCAAGUUGGUUGAAGCAGCCAGGUCAUCUUCCUCUUCUUCGUACUCGUCGUCUUCCUCGUCCUCGUCGCACAGCAGGACUCGAGUAAACCUGGAUUCUCUUGUCCAAGCGACUGAGAAGCUUUGGACCCAAAAUCCCCCGCCUUCCCGUGUCCAGGUAAACUCUUUUGCUUUAUGUAACUUCUGGAGCUCACCACCUUUGGGUUCAGCCGGUACCACACCGUCCUCACCACGUCGCACCAUUACCAAAACCAGAUAAAAGGACCGAGCUCUUCGAACUGGUAAAGAACGGCCUCAUCAUAAACGCCUUCGAGAAAGCUCUGUCCCUGAACGAUCCUUCCACAGUCUGGUGGCUUUGCACCAAGGUAAUCUGUUUACGCUCUCUGGCCGCUGAUCACGCCCGUCUUUUGUCAACUCAGGUAGAGCAUACCGUGCUGCUUGUCUUCAGUGAAUCGAUGCUCAUGGCACUGGCCGAGAAAAUCAACACCAACUUCACGGAAGACACUGCUCGCAGGCUGGUCUGGAUCGACGGGAUUGGCGGCUUGCUGUUGAAAGACGCCAAUGGAUGGGCAUCACCUCGGAAGAUGAGGAUCCUGGAGCAGCUUUCACAGAACCUCCACGGUAUGAUGGCCAUAACACCACCAAAGAGUGAGCUGCGCAUGACCUUGACGAACAUGCUGGAAGGCACCAACAUGUGGCUGCAGGUUCGUACAUAUGAAGCUCUUCGUUUCUUUCGUUUCCAUCUCCUUGAUUCACAUCGUUU
Molecule: long non-coding RNA, 28446 nt
Filed under: Selaginella moellendorffii
Lineage: Eukaryota; Viridiplantae; Streptophyta; Lycopodiopsida; Selaginellales; Selaginellaceae
Description: long non-coding RNA (SMOE_LNC001497)
Source: RNAcentral